GGCUUAAAGGCCUGUCGUCACUCCUUUGAAGGAAGUGCUGCUACGGCGAAUUUUGGUAGGGUCUAUCCCCAUUCUGCGGGCGGUGUCCUGGUAUUGCAGUUGCCGCGUUGUCCUUUCGUGUUAUCACAUGAAGUGAGUUCACUGUUUUGACUUCUAGUAGGAAAGUCUUCUGUUUUCCGGAGUGCUGCUUUUGGGCGGUGAAUCGGGUUGAAAGUGAAAGUCGCCAAAAAGUGGCGGAAUGCUCUCGAAACCAACUCACUUGAGUGAGACAGAGGAGAGUGGAAUUUCAUGUGUAGGGGUGAAAUCCGUAGAUCUACGAAGCCAAAAGCGAAGGCAGCUCUCUGGGUCCCUACCGACACUAGGGUGCGAAAGCAUGGGGAGCGAACAGGAUUAGAUACCCUGGUAGUCCAUGCCAUAAACGAUGAGUGUUCGCCCUUGGUCUACGCGGAUCAGGGGCCCAGCUAACGCGUGAAACACUCCGCC
RNAcentral lists this ribosomal RNA (483 nucleotides) under Triticum dicoccoides. Its description in RNAcentral is "rRNA SSU_rRNA_eukarya". The stretch from base 187 to 479 matches the Rfam family "Bacterial small subunit ribosomal RNA", at positions 567 to 869 of the family's 1533-position model. Lineage: Eukaryota; Viridiplantae; Streptophyta; Magnoliopsida; Poales; Poaceae. The record is from RNAcentral.